UUGUUCAGACCUUGAUGUUUGGUGGAAAGAUGUGUAAGUGAAAAGUGGGGAAAGAAUCAGUUUAAGCUUAUUUUCAAACCACAAUAGACUAGAAUUGAGAGUAGAGUAAGGAUGAGUUCCACUACACUAAACACCCCAAACCAUUGUUAGUAAUUUUCUUCCAAAAUUCUCUCCUAUUUAUUUUUAGCUCUAGUACACCCCUAAACAUUCUGUUUGAGCCAAGAUUGCUGAUUUGAACUCACCUUUAGUAACCAUGGCAGGGCAAUCAAAUUAAACUGUUUGCUCCCAUUGUUUUAAGCAGUUGAAGUUGCAUUGAAAUUUUCCCUUCAAGUUGGCAUGCAGGGUGAAUCCUUAACGAUAACAAAUUUGCUAGA
RNAcentral lists this long non-coding RNA (374 nucleotides) under Phaseolus vulgaris (common bean). RNAcentral's name for it is "long non-coding RNA (PVUL_LNC004436)". Lineage: Eukaryota; Viridiplantae; Streptophyta; Magnoliopsida; Fabales; Fabaceae. The record is from RNAcentral.